Molecule: ribosomal RNA, 461 nt
Filed under: uncultured bacterium
Lineage: Bacteria
Description: partial 16S ribosomal RNA
Rfam family: Bacterial small subunit ribosomal RNA
Source: RNAcentral
CCUACGGGAGGCUGCAGUGAGGAAUAUUGGUCAAUGGGAGGAAUCCUGAACCAGCCAUGCCGCGUGCAGGACGACGGCUCUACGAGUUGUAAACUGCUUUUGUACCGGGGUAAAAUGCUCUACGAGUAGGGUUUUGAAAGUACGGUACGAAUAAGGAUCGGCUAACUCCGUGCCAGACGCCGCGGUAAUACGGAGGAUCCGAGCGUUAUCCGGAUUCAUUGGGUUUGAAGGGUGCGUAGGUUGUUUUAUAAGUUAGCGGUGAAAUGCCCCCGCUCAACGGGGUGAAGUGCCAUUGAUACUGGCUUGCUGGAAUGCGGAUGCCGUGGGAGGAAUGUGUGGUGUAGCGGUGAAAUGCAUAGAUAUCACACAGAACACCGAUUGCGAAGGUAUCUCACGAAUCCGCGAUUGACGCUGAUGCACGAAAGCGUGGGUAUCAAACAGGAUUAGAUACCCCUGUAGUC